GUGCUCGCUUCAGCAGCACAUAUAUUAAAAUUGGAAUGAUACAGAGAAGAUUAGCAUGACCCUUGCACAAGGAUGACAUGCAAAUUCGUGAAGCAUUCCUUAUUUUU
Callithrix jacchus (white-tufted-ear marmoset) is the source of this 107-nucleotide small nuclear RNA. Lineage: Eukaryota; Metazoa; Chordata; Mammalia; Primates; Cebidae. The record is from Ensembl.